AUUGAACGCUGGCGGCAUGCCUUACACAUGCCAGUCGAACGGCAGCACGGGUGCUUGCACCUGGUGGCGAGUGGCGAACGGGUGAGUAAUACAUCGGAACAUGUCCUGUAGUGGGGGAUAGCCCGGCGAAAGCCGGAUUAAUACCGCAUACGAUCUACGGAUGAAAGCGGGGGCCCUUCGGGCCUCGCGCUAUAGGGUUGGCCGAUGGCUGAUUAGCUAGUUGGUGGGGUAAAGGCCUACCAAGGCGACGAUCAGUAGCUGGUCUGAGAGGACGACCAGCCACACUGGGACUGAGACACGGCCCAGACUCCUACGGGAGGCAGCAGUGGGGAAUGUUGGACAAUGGGCGAAAGCCUGAUCCAGCAAUGCCGCGUGUGUGAAGAAGGCCUUCGGGUUGUAAAGCACUUUUGUCCGGAAAGAAAUCCUUGGCUCUAAUACAGUCGGGGGAUGACGGUACCGGAAGAAUAAGCACCGGCUAACUACGUG
RNAcentral lists this ribosomal RNA (486 nucleotides) under uncultured bacterium. RNAcentral's name for it is "partial 16S ribosomal RNA". It matches the Rfam family "Bacterial small subunit ribosomal RNA", at positions 30 to 507 of the family's 1533-position model. The record is from RNAcentral.